This 491-nucleotide ribosomal RNA is filed under the name uncultured bacterium. Its description in RNAcentral is "partial 16S ribosomal RNA". It matches the Rfam family "Bacterial small subunit ribosomal RNA", at positions 29 to 506 of the family's 1533-position model. The record is from RNAcentral.
AGUGAACGCUGGCGGUAGGCCUAACACAUGCAAGUCGAGCGGCAGCACAGUAAGAGCUUGCUCUUACGGGUGGCGAGUGGCGGACGGGUGAGGAAUACAUCGGAAUCUACUUUUUCGUGGGGGAUAACGUAGGGAAACUUACGCUAAUACCGCAUACGACCUACGGGUGAAAGCAGGGGAUCUUCGGACCUUGCGCGAUUGAAUGAGCCGAUGUCGGAUUAGCUAGUUGGCGGGGUAAAGGCCCACCAAGGCGACGAUCCGUAGCUGGUCUGAGAGGAUGAUCAGCCACACUGGAAAUGAGACACGGUCCAGACUCCUACGGGAGGCAGCAGUGGGGAAUAUUGGACAAUGGGCGCAAGCCUGAUCCAGCCAUACCGCGUGGGUGAAGAAGGCCUUCGGGUUGUAAAGCCCUUUUGUUGGGAAAGAAAAGCAGCAGGUUAAUACCCCGCUGUUCUGACGGUACCCAAAGAAUAAGCACCGGCGAACUUCGG